This 391-nucleotide ribosomal RNA is filed under the name uncultured beta proteobacterium. RNAcentral's name for it is "bacterial SSU rRNA". It matches the Rfam family "Bacterial small subunit ribosomal RNA", at positions 30 to 421 of the family's 1533-position model. The record is from RNAcentral. Lineage: Bacteria; Pseudomonadati; Pseudomonadota; Betaproteobacteria.
AUUGAACGCUGGCGGCAUGCUUUACACAUGCAAGUCGAACGGCAGCACGGGGGCAACCCUGGUGGCGAGUGGCGAACGGGUGAGGAAUACAUCGGAACGUGUCUUCAAGUGGGGGAUAACGCAUCGAAAGGUGUGCUAAUACCGCAUAAUCUCUGAGGAGAAAAGCAGGGGAUCGCAAGACCUUGCGCUUUUGGAGCGGCCGAUGUCUGAUUAGCUUGUUGGUGAGGUAAAAGCUUACCAAGGCUUCGAUCAGUAGCUGGUCUGAGAGGACGACCAGCCACACUGGGACUGAGACACGGCCCAGACUCCUACGGGAGGCAGCAGUGGGGAAUUUUGGACAAUGGGGGAAACCCUGAUCCAGCCAUGCCGCGUGAGUGAAGAAGGCCUUCGG